This 253-nucleotide ribosomal RNA is filed under the name uncultured bacterium. RNAcentral describes it as "partial 16S ribosomal RNA". It matches the Rfam family "Bacterial small subunit ribosomal RNA", at positions 524 to 776 of the family's 1533-position model. The record is from RNAcentral.
UACAGAGGUCCCAAGCGUUGUUCGGAUUCACUGGGCGUAAAGGGUGCGUAGGCGGCUUCUUAAGUCUGGUGUGAAAUCUCCCGGCUCAACUGGGAGGGUGCGCCGGAUACUGAGGGGCUAGAGUGUGGGAGAGGAAAGUGGAAUUCCUGGUGUAGCGGUGAAAUGCGUAGAUAUCAGGAGGAACACCGGUGGUGUAAACGGCUUUCUGGACCAUAACUGACGCUGAGGCACGAAAGCGUGGGUAGCAAACAGG